Molecule: ribosomal RNA, 484 nt
Filed under: uncultured bacterium
Lineage: Bacteria
Description: partial 16S ribosomal RNA
Rfam family: Bacterial small subunit ribosomal RNA
Source: RNAcentral
AUUGAACGCUGGCGGCAUGCUUUACACAUGCAAGUCGAACGGCAGCGCGGGCUUCGGCCUGGCGGCGAGUGGCGAACGGGUGAGUAAUGCAUCGGAACGUGCCCAGUAGUGGGGGAUAGCCCGGCGAAAGCCGGAUUAAUACCGCAUACGACCUGAGGGUGAAAGCGGGGGACCGAAAGGCCUCGCGCUAUUGGAGCGGCCGAUGUCGGAUUAGCUAGUUGGUGGGGUAAAGGCUUACCAAGGCGACGAUCCGUAGCUGGUCUGAGAGGACGACCAGCCACACUGGGACUGAGACACGGCCCAGACUCCUACGGGAGGCAGCAGUGGGGAAUUUUGGACAAUGGGGGCAACCCUGAUCCAGCCAUGCCGCGUGCGGGAAGAAGGCCUUCGGGUUGUAAACCGCUUUUGUUCGGGAAGAAAUCCUCUGGGCUAAUACCCCGGGGGGAUGACGGCACCGGAAGAAUAAGCACCGGCUAACUACGUG